RNAcentral lists this ribosomal RNA (506 nucleotides) under uncultured bacterium. RNAcentral's name for it is "partial 16S ribosomal RNA". It matches the Rfam family "Bacterial small subunit ribosomal RNA", at positions 29 to 523 of the family's 1533-position model. The record is from RNAcentral.
AGUGAACGCUGGCGGUAGGCCUAACACAUGCAAGUCGAACGGUAGCACAGGAGAGCUUGCUCUCUGGGUGGCGAGUGGCGGACGGGUGAGGAAUACAUCGGAAUCUACUCUGUCGUGGGGGAUAACGUAGGGAAACAUACGCUAAUACCGCAUACGACCUACGGGUGAAAGCAGGGGAUCUUCGGACCUUGCGCGAUUGAAUGAGCCGAUGUCGGAUUAGCUAGUUGGCGGGGUAAAGGCCCACCAAGGCGACGAUCCGUAGCUGGUCUGAGAGGAUGAUCAGCCACACUGGAACUGAGACACGGUCCAGACUCCUACGGGAGGCAGCAGUGGGGAAUAUUGGACAAUGGGCGCAAGCCUGAUCCAGCCAUACCGCGUGGGUGAAGAAGGCCUUCGGGUUGUAAAGCCCUUUUGUUGGGAAAGAAAUCCAGCUGGCUAAUACCCGGUUGGGAUGACGGUACCCAAAGAAUAAGUACCGGCUAACUUCGUGCCAGCAGCCGCAGUAA